Molecule: ribosomal RNA, 423 nt
Filed under: Symbiodinium sp. A7
Lineage: Eukaryota; Dinophyceae; Suessiales; Symbiodiniaceae
Description: LSU rRNA
Rfam family: Eukaryotic large subunit ribosomal RNA
Source: RNAcentral
UUAGACAUACUACCAACGGCGGCGCGAGCGUAAGCCUCUUGGAACAGAGCGUCUACGUGGGUGAGAAUCCUGUGUUUCGCUUGAUGCCCGCCGUGCACGGUACUUGCUCUCAGAGUCACGCUCCUCGGAAUUGGAGCGUAAAUUGGGUGGUAAAUUUCAUCUAAAGCUAAAUACAGGCUCGAGACCGAUAGCAAACAAGUACCAUGAGGGAAAGAUGAAAAGGACUUUGAAAAGAGAGUUAAAAGUGCUUGAAAUCGCUGAACUGGAAGCGAAUGGAACUAGUGCCCUGGUUGAGAUUGCUGCAAGUGGCUGCGACAUCUGGGCUCUGGAACGCAAGUCCGUUGUCUGGUUUGAAGUAGUUGCUUGUAAUGUGUCUCAGCUUGAACAUCAGCGUCUAUGCAUACGUGAGGAUGGUCCUUAGCU